Molecule: ribosomal RNA, 1084 nt
Filed under: Lactiplantibacillus plantarum
Lineage: Bacteria; Bacillati; Bacillota; Bacilli; Lactobacillales; Lactobacillaceae
Description: bacterial SSU rRNA
Rfam family: Bacterial small subunit ribosomal RNA
Source: RNAcentral
CUAUACAUGCAGUCGAACGAACUCUGGUAUUGAUUGGUGCUUGCAUCAUGAUUUACAUUUGAGUGAGUGGCGAACUGGUGAGUAACACGUGGGAAACCUGCCCAGAAGCGGGGGAUAACACCUGGAAACAGAUGCUAAUACCGCAUAACAACUUGGACCGCAUGGUCCGAGCUUGAAAGAUGGCUUCGGCUAUCACUUUUGGAUGGUCCCGCGGCGUAUUAGCUAGAUGGUGGGGUAACGGCUCACCAUGGCAAUGAUACGUAGCCGACCUGAGAGGGUAAUCGGCCACAUUGGGACUGAGACACGGCCCAAACUCCUACGGGAGGCAGCAGUAGGGAAUCUUCCACAAUGGACGAAAGUCUGAUGGAGCAACGCCGCGUGAGUGAAGAAGGGUUUCGGCUCGUAAAACUCUGUUGUUAAAGAAGAACAUAUCUGAGAGUAACUGUUCAGGUAUUGACGGUAUUUAACCAGAAAGCCACGGCUAACUACGUGCCAGCAGCCGCGGUAAUACGUAGGUGGCAAGCGUUGUCCGGAUUUAUUGGGCGUAAAGCGAGCGCAGGCGGUUUUUUAAGUCUGAUGUGAAAGCCUUCGGCUCAACCGAAGAAGUGCAUCGGAAACUGGGAAACUUGAGUGCAGAAGAGGACAGUGGAACUCCAUGUGUAGCGGUGAAAUGCGUAGAUAUAUGGAAGAACACCAGUGGCGAAGGCGGCUGUCUGGUCUGUAACUGACGCUGAGGCUCGAAAGUAUGGGUAGCAAACAGGAUUAGAUACCCUGGUAGUCCAUACCGUAAACGAUGAAUGCUAAGUGUUGGAGGGUUUCCGCCCUUCAGUGCUGCAGCUAACGCAUUAAGCAUUCCGCCUGGGGAGUACGGCCGCAAGGCUGAAACUCAAAGGAAUUGACGGGGGCCCGCACAAGCGGUGGAGCAUGUGGUUUAAUUCGAAGCUACGCGAAGAACCUUACCAGGUCUUGACAUACUAUGCAAAUCUAAAAGAUUAGACGUUCCCUUCGGGGACAUGGAUACAGGUGGUGCAUGGUUGUCGUCAGCUCGUGUCGUGAGAUGUUGGGUUAAGUCCCGCAACGAGCG